AUGGCUCUCAACGGCGGCGCCACCACCGCAGCGUGCAUCCUCGUCCUCCUUGCACUCGCCGGCGCCGCGGGGGCAACCUUCUCGGCGCCGCCGCCGGUGGACUGCUCGGCAUUGUUGGCCGGCCUCGCAGACUGCCUCGACUUUGUGUCGCCCGGCAGCAAGUCGAGUCAACCUUCCAAGGCCUGCUGCGGGGAGGUGAAGACCAACGUCGGCAGCCCCGCCGUCGUGGACUGCGUCUGCGCCGCCAUGUUCUCGAAGCCAACGCAGUUACCGUUCAACAAGACACGGGUGUACGCUCUCCCCGACGCCUGCGGCACGCCCGCCUCCGUCUUGAACAGGUGCCAUGGUGAGCACCGUGCCUUUUCUCACUUCUUCCAUAAUCUUCUUGUCCUGAGUUUGGCUAGAAUCUGCUUCCAUUUUUUACAUCAAGAAACUAGAGCUAAAUCGUGUUGUUUUACUAGGAAGUUUAUCAUUUAUUUGAUUCCUGUGUGGGAUUUACAAUGA
This 504-nucleotide ribosomal RNA is filed under the name Triticum aestivum (bread wheat). RNAcentral describes it as "partial small subunit ribosomal RNA". The record is from RNAcentral. Lineage: Eukaryota; Viridiplantae; Streptophyta; Magnoliopsida; Poales; Poaceae.